RNAcentral lists this ribosomal RNA (253 nucleotides) under uncultured bacterium. RNAcentral describes it as "partial 16S ribosomal RNA". It matches the Rfam family "Bacterial small subunit ribosomal RNA", at positions 524 to 776 of the family's 1533-position model. The record is from RNAcentral.
UACGUAGGGUGCGAGCGUUGUCCGGAAUUACUGGGCGUAAAGCGCGCGUAGGCGGUUUGAUAAGUCAGAUGUGAAAUCCCCGGGCUUAACCUGGGAAUGGCAUUUGAUACUGUCUGACUCGAGUGUGGUAGAGGGAAGUGGAAUUCCGCAUGUAGCGGUGAAAUGCGUAGAUAUGCGGAGGAACACCAGUGGCGAAAGCGGCUUCCUGGACCAACACUGACGCUGAGGUGCGAAAGCGUGGGGAGCAAACAGG